RNAcentral lists this ribosomal RNA (583 nucleotides) under Leptophryne cruentata. RNAcentral's name for it is "partial small subunit ribosomal RNA". It matches the Rfam family "Bacterial large subunit ribosomal RNA", at positions 1806 to 2608 of the family's 2925-position model. The record is from RNAcentral. Lineage: Eukaryota; Metazoa; Chordata; Amphibia; Anura; Bufonidae.
UUCAAAAACAUCGCCUCUUGACCCUAUAUGAGAGGUCCAGCCUGCCCAGUGACCAAGUUCAACGGCCGCGGUAUCCUAACCGUGCAAAGGUAGCGUAAUCACUUGUUCUUUAAAUGAGGACUAGUAUGAAUGGCACCACGAGGGUUAUACUGUCUCCUUUUUCUAAUCAGUGAAACUAAUUUCCCCGUGAAGAAGCGUGGAUGAUUCUAUAAGACGAGAAGACCCUAUGGAGCUUUAAACAGUGUAGCCCUUACCGUGCUUUAAAACUUCUACACACUUAGUUUAUUGGUAAGAUAACUACAAGUUUUUGGUUGGGGUGACCGCGGAAUACAAUACAACCUCCAUGCUGAAAAAACCUUCUUUAAGCUGAGAACCACACUCCAAAGCAUCAAUACAUUGACUACCAUUGACCCAAUAUAAUUGAACAACGAACCAAGUUACCCUAGGGAUAACAGCGCAAUCCGCUUCGAGAGCCCCUAUCGACAAGUGGGUUUACGACCUCGAUGUUGGAUCAGGGUAUCCCAGCGGUGCAGCCGCUGCUAGUGGUUCGUUUGUUCAACGAUUAAAACCCUACGUGAUCUGA